CCUACGGAGGGCUGCAGUGGGGAAUAUUGGACAAUGGGGGGAACCCUGAUCCAGCCAUGCCGCGUGUGUGAAGAAGGCCCUCGGGUUGUAAAGCACUUUCAGUGAGGAAGAACGCCUGGUGGUUAAUACCCAUCAGGAAAGACAUCACUCACAGAAGAAGCACCGGCUAACUCCGUGCCAGCAGCCGCGGUAAUACGGAGGGUGCGAGCGUUAAUCGGAAUUACUGGGCGUAAAGCGCGCGUAGGUGGCUUGAUAAGCCGGUUGUGAAAGCCCCGGGCUCAACCUGGGAACGGCAUCCGGAACUGUCAAGCUAGAGUGCAGGAGAGGAAGGUAGAAUUCCCGGUGUAGCGGUGAAAUGCGUAGAGAUCGGGAGGAAUACCAGUGGCGAAGGCAGCCUUCUGGACUGACACUGACACUGAGGUGCGAAAGCGUGGGUAGCAAACAGGAUUAGAUACCCGUGUAGUC
RNAcentral lists this ribosomal RNA (465 nucleotides) under Vreelandella stevensii. RNAcentral's name for it is "partial 16S ribosomal RNA". It matches the Rfam family "Bacterial small subunit ribosomal RNA", at positions 338 to 795 of the family's 1533-position model. Lineage: Bacteria; Pseudomonadati; Pseudomonadota; Gammaproteobacteria; Oceanospirillales; Halomonadaceae. The record is from RNAcentral.